Molecule: ribosomal RNA, 305 nt
Filed under: uncultured bacterium
Lineage: Bacteria
Description: bacterial SSU rRNA
Rfam family: Bacterial small subunit ribosomal RNA
Source: RNAcentral
GUGUCCUACGGGGGCAGCAGUGGGGGAUAUUGCACAAUGGGCGCAAGCCUGAUGCAGCGACGCCGCGUGGAGGAAGAAGGUUUUCGGAUUGUAAACUCCUGUCUUCAGGGACGAUAAUGACGGUACCUGAGGAGGAAGCCACGGCUAACUACGUGCCAGCAGCCGCGGUAAUACGUAGGUGGCAAGCGUUGUCCGGAAUUACUGGGUGUAAAGGGAGCGUAGGCGGGACAGCAAGUCCAGUGUGAAAUCUAUCGGCUCAACCGAUAGCUGCGCUGGAAACUGUGGUUCUUGAGUGAAGUAGAGGC